AGAACCUUCUGUCCUUGAACCUAAAAAAAGAUAACUGAAGUGUAAGGAGCUGAAAUAUUUCUACUGUGAUAAACAAGAGCAAGUUGCUUAUUAAAAGGCCGGAUGUUACCUCUGAUUCUUUCUUUAGCUUCUGUAUAUCCAGGAUGGAGAAUACAAGCCACUCACCAUUGUGUUAGAAAGAGAAAAUGACACAUUGGGAUUCAAUAUUAUAGGAGGUCGACCGAAUCAGAAUAAUGAGGAAGAAACAUUAAC
Molecule: non-coding RNA, 252 nt
Organism: Manis javanica (Malayan pangolin)
Lineage: Eukaryota; Metazoa; Chordata; Mammalia; Pholidota; Manidae
Source: RefSeq, a predicted model, not a curated record